GAUGAACGCUGGCGGCGUGCCUAAUACAUGCAAGUCGAGCGAACAGAGGAGGUGCUUCCUUCUCAGACGUGACGGGCGGGCGGGUGAGUCGCACGUGAAUUACCUACGGAAAAGGGUGAGAUAACGUCGACAAACCAGAGCAAAUACCAGAUAAUUUAAUGUACCGCGCGGUUCAAUAAAAAAAGACGGUUGCGGAGUCACUUGCAGAUGGUUCGGGGCCGGAUUAGCUAGUUGGUAGGGUAACGGAUUACAAAGGCAACGCUUAGUAGCCGACCUGGGAGGGUUAUGGGCCACGCUGGAACGGAGACACGGUCCAAACUCCUCCGGGAGGCGGCAGUAGGGAAUCUUCGGCAAUGGGCGAAGGCCUAACGGAGAAACGCGGCGUGAGUGAUGAAGGUCUUCGGUUCGUAAGACUCUGUUAUUAGGAAAGAACAAAGGUGUAAGUAACUAUGCACGUCGUGACGGUACCUAAUCAGAAAGCCACGGCUAACUACGUG
This 497-nucleotide ribosomal RNA is filed under the name uncultured bacterium. RNAcentral's name for it is "partial 16S ribosomal RNA". It matches the Rfam family "Bacterial small subunit ribosomal RNA", at positions 28 to 507 of the family's 1533-position model. The record is from RNAcentral.